RNAcentral lists this ribosomal RNA (488 nucleotides) under uncultured bacterium. RNAcentral describes it as "bacterial SSU rRNA". It matches the Rfam family "Bacterial small subunit ribosomal RNA", at positions 30 to 518 of the family's 1533-position model. The record is from RNAcentral.
UGAACGCUGGCGGCGUGCUUAACACAUGCAAGUCGAGCGAAGCGCUCUGGAAGAUUCCUUCGGGAUGAUUCCUAGUGACUUAGCGGCGGACGGGUGAGUAACGCGUGGGCAACCUGCCUUGUACAGGGGGAUAACAGUUAGAAAUGACUGCUAAUACCGCAUAAGCACACAGCAUGGCAUCAUGCAGUGCGAAAAACUCCGGUGGUACAAGAUGGGCCCGCGUUGGAUUAGCUUGUUGGUGGGGUAACGGCCCACCAAGGCGACGAUCCAUAGCCGGACUGAGAGGUCGAACGGCCACAUUGGGACUGAGACACGGCCCAGACUCCUACGGGAGGCAGCAGUGGGGAAUAUUGCACAAUGGAGGAAACUCUGAUGCAGCCGACGCCGCGUGAGUGAUGAAGUAUUUCGGUAUGUAAAGCUCUAUCAGCAGGGAAGAAGACGACGGUACCUGACUAAGAAGCCCCGGCUAACUACGUGCCAGCAGCCGC